AUGUCCUCUCUCUCUCUUUUUUUUUUUUUUUUUUUUUUUUUUUUUUUUUGUGUGUGUGUGUGUGUGUGCCUAAUUUCAUUUUGGAUCAGACCUUUCUCUGUCUUUUGCAGAAGAUACCUGUUGGAAUUGCUCAGGCUGCUGUCUCAGGAUUACAUUGCAAUUUGGUGUACUCAAGGUCAGCGGUCAGGUUGUGCUGGAGCCCACAGGCUCCCUACUAAAAAGAGAGAGCAGCAGUGCACUGCAGGACUGGUUAACAAGAGAUCCUGGCUGGCACAAGCUUUUGCCCAGAGCCGAGGGGCACUACCUUGUACUUUCACAUGCUGCAGCUGAGGUUCUGUGUGGGAGUAUCCCAUGACCAUCACACCCCGUGUUAGGUUCCUUACUUCUGUGGAGGGGAAUGUGGCAGACCCACGUGGUAACAACAGACACCAGGAGCUUCUCAAACCCCAAUACCUGCUGUCCUGAGCACACCACACUUUUCUCUGAUCUUGCCUUUUAUGGCAAAAAUUCAGACCAACCUGUGCAUAUGCAGUGACAACAACAACAUAAAGCCAUUAACUUUUAACAUUAACACUUAUCAUUAACAAGGAGCUCAGUUAGACAUGCAAUCCACUCUUUCAUGCAAUAUAUCAUAGUUACUAUUAUAAUAUAAAUACCAAUAUAAAAUACAUUGCUAAAUAUAAAUUACUACUAAAGAAAAGAAGGAGAAAAAUACAUGGCAUGUGUUAGUCACAUCAUUUAGUGUACUCCUUAAAGAUACUCAUAAGCAGUGGAGGGAACAGCAGUACAAGGACAUUAAUACAAUAGAGUAGAACAGAAAAGAAUAGAAACAAAGUGACAAGAUAAGUGAGGCAAACAAAGCAGUGGCCAUAAAAAGAAACCUGGACACUUCUGUAUUAUGAAGUACCAUGAAAUGGAGAAACCUACAACCUCAGGGAAAUAUAUGUAUGUAUAUAUAUAUAAAAUUAUAAUUUUAAAACACUAUUUUAAAAAGGUUCUGUUAAUCUUCAUAUGGACGCUAGAUGGGGAUCUUGAGUCAGCCAUGCAAAAGACUCCUUUAUCCUGCUUUUUCUUUAUUUUAAUCUGUUUUAUCACGGACAGAGUACAUGCAAUGCAAGUUUACUCUUCAGGCAUUUAUAUUUUUACUAGUUUUUUUUUUUUUUUUUUGGGGGGGGGGGCAGUAAUCUAAAGUAAAUAAAUAUUUACUUUUAAACCUACA
RNAcentral lists this long non-coding RNA (1219 nucleotides) under Anas platyrhynchos platyrhynchos (common mallard). RNAcentral's name for it is "lncRNA (ENSAPLG00000025320.1)". Lineage: Eukaryota; Metazoa; Chordata; Aves; Anseriformes; Anatidae. The record is from RNAcentral.